AGGAAUCGAUCAAGAACAUGAGCACAAGGGAAACCCUUGCUUCAAAGAAAUCAAGUAAUUAAACUCGAAAUUGAGGGAUAAUCCACUGCAUGAACAUCAAAUAACAUUCUACUGAACUCAAUUAUUGAAGUGUAGGUGUAAAAGAAGAAAGCUCAAACGUUAGGAAAGCAGAAGACGCGCAAGAUGGAGGUAAAACCUCGGCAUAAUAGCUUGGCGACUUGGAACGAACACACUCGAUUCAUGCCCACCUAGCGCUUCCGAAGAUGUUUAGUUUUGUAUGGUUCUAGUUUUUGGUAGUAUGUAUUUUCAACAUGUGUGGUUUUUAGUUGUCCUUACAUUUUGGCAAAAACUUAGUUAGUAUGUUGAUUUUGUAUCUAGAUCUUUUAAACUUGUCCGUUUUGGUUUUGAAAAUGGUUGUGUAUGAAAA
This is a long non-coding RNA of Helianthus annuus (common sunflower), 427 nucleotides long. RefSeq lists it as uncharacterized. NCBI's taxonomy places the organism in Eukaryota, Viridiplantae, Streptophyta, Magnoliopsida, Asterales, Asteraceae. The record is from RefSeq and is a predicted model, not a curated record. The transcript has 3 exons.